This 343-nucleotide long non-coding RNA is filed under the name Trifolium pratense (red clover). RNAcentral's name for it is "long non-coding RNA (TPRA_LNC012655)". The record is from RNAcentral. Lineage: Eukaryota; Viridiplantae; Streptophyta; Magnoliopsida; Fabales; Fabaceae.
UUGAAAUGACUAAAAGAUGAAGAUUUGGAACGAGUUAGGAAUUUGGAGGCGUUUGUGGUUGAAGGAAUUGCAACUCGAACUCCAUAGCUUCGCCGAUUUUGAUUCUUUGGUUUGCGUUCAUUUCUGUGUUUGGGUUGGACCUAGAACUAGAAGAGAUGAGGUUUCUGCGUUUUUGUGUUUUGAAGGACUUGGAUUGCAUUUUGACUUUUGAGUGACUUAGUCAUGAAGGGGUAUUUUUUAUGAAUAAUUCUGCAACGGUUGUUAAAACCGUCGUAACCACUGUCACAAAUAUUUCAAAAAUUACACUUUGCGACGGUUUUGCCCAAGUGGUUGCAAGAGAAGU